GUCCAACACUUUAUCCAUUGCACCACCUUCCAGGAUCCAAGGAAAAAGAAUUUUUUUUCAACUGAAUCGUUGUUAGUGUCUCUGCCCCAAUAGUUAUAACCCUUCUUCUGGCUUUGCAUCGCAGAUCCCUGCACUCGCUUAUCUAUCAAUAUUUCUCUCGGAAUUUAAGCUCCCUCAAGAUAGGAUCAUGCCACAUUUACCCAGGUCCAGAACAGAGCCUUGCUUAUGAUCAAUCUUCUUGUCUGUGAAAUGAGGAUGAAACAACAGCUACCCCACAGAGAUGCCGUACAGAUUGAGAUGUGAAAGACAUUUUGUAAACUUCAGAGUGCAACGCAAAUGUUGAUUUGGUUCUUUGUGAGGAAUUUGGAGGAUGCAGCUGUGGUAUAAAGAGAACUCUAUUUAGAGUCGGGUGCUGUGGGUUCAAAUUAGACACACACUGUGUAUCUCUUAGGCACAUACUGUGCCACCACAGAGAACCCACUAGACCCUUCUAAGUCUUCAUUCCUCCUGACCUCCCCUGGUUGGGCUGUGGUGGAGAGUAAGUGAGAUCAGGUAUAGAAGCACCAAGUGCAGUACCUGCUACACAAGCAACACACAAGACAUGCUUGGGGCUGAAUUUGGUCCAGCGGUGGGUUAUUUGAGUUGAAUCAGGCUGACUUCCCCCAAACCCUUUGCUCCAUUCCACUCUCAAAGGCCACAUGUAUGCUGGACAUUUUGGGGCUCCAUGCUCUACUGUUACCUCAAAAGUUUCCUUCUCCAGUCACCUGUCACUGUCAAGGUGACUUCUUCUUCUCAAUCACAGAAGCCUGAACCCUGGAGUCAUCCUUGACUCACACUCUCUUCUCUCUAACUUCUCCCUCCCCCCCCCCCCCCCACACACGUGGGUUGGUCGCCAUGGCCUGUCAAUAUUUCCUUGGAAACACCUCGCCCAUGUUCCCUUGGUCCCCAUUCACGUUGCCACUGCCACCAGCUCUGUCUGACUCUUUGGGCUACCCUGCAAGCCUGCACUGCUGGGAAGACCUUCUGAAUGGCCACUCUCCUCUAGCCUCUGUCUCCUUCCCACUCAUCUUCCUCAAACUCUGCUCUUAUUAGUUGCUGACCUGCUCCAGGAUGGAUAAUGGUUCCUUAUUUGCCAGACAACUCUGCCAGCUCUUCAGGUCUACCUGGCUGAUCCUACCCAGGCAACUUGGGGUUCCAGAGGGCUGGAGCUGACACACAGUGCCCAAGACAGUCAAGCAGGCUCCCUCACCGAUGGAGUCGGGGACGUGUUUUCCAGAAGCAUUGAGGCAGAAGCUGAGGUUGAUGCUGGAGGAAGACCAAGAGGAAAGUUGGCGGCCUCCCACCCCACAAACUCCUGUGGAAUUCAUACCUGUAAACCACAGCCUUGUCCACACCGAAGGACCCCACAAUCAGAUCUGCAAGUCAAGAAACCACCCGUUGUACAUACAGUAAGACUCAAAACAAGAACUUUCCGGAUUAACCCCUUCAUGGUCUAAGAAAGCAAGAGUGAGAUGACGGCGCCAUCUGGUGGUCGUAUUUCAGAACUGCACCGAGAAGUUUGAGGGGAUAUGGGGAAGGAUAGUGUUAAAGCGAAAGGGGCGGGGUGGCGGUGGGUAUAACUCACCAGGA
Erinaceus europaeus (western European hedgehog) is the source of this 1629-nucleotide long non-coding RNA. RefSeq lists it as uncharacterized. The transcript is spliced from 3 exons. The record is from RefSeq and is a predicted model, not a curated record. Lineage: Eukaryota; Metazoa; Chordata; Mammalia; Eulipotyphla; Erinaceidae.